This 432-nucleotide ribosomal RNA is filed under the name uncultured bacterium. RNAcentral describes it as "partial 16S ribosomal RNA". It matches the Rfam family "Bacterial small subunit ribosomal RNA", at positions 29 to 506 of the family's 1533-position model. The record is from RNAcentral.
AACGAACGCUGGCGGCAGGCCUAACACAUGCAAGUCGAGCGGACCCUUCGGGGUUAGCGGCGGACGGGUGAGUAACGCGUGGGAAUAUGCCCUUCUCUACGGAAUAGUCCUGGGAAACUGGGGGUAAUACCGUAUACGCCCUUUGGGGGAAAGAUUUAUCGGGGAAGGAUUAGCCCGCGUUGGAUUAGGUAGUUGGUGGGGUAAUGGCCUACCAAGCCGACGAUCCAUAGCUGGUUUGAGAGGAUGAUCAGCCACACUGGGACUGAGACACGGCCCAGACUCCUACGGGAGGCAGCAGUGGGGAAUCUUAGACAAUGGGGGCAACCCUGAUCUAGCCAUGCCGCGUGAGUGAUAAAGGCCUUAGGGUUGUAAAGCUCUUUCAGCUGGGAAGAUAAUGACGGUACCAGCAGAAGAAGCCCCGGCUAACUCCGU